CGGCAAGAGCUCAAAUUUGAAAUCUGGCCUCUUCGGGGCCCGAGUUGUAAUUUGGAGAGGAUGCUUCGGGUUCAGCCCCCGUCUAAGUGCCCUGGAACGGGCCGUCAUAGAGGGUGAGAAUCCCGUCUGGGAUGGAUGGUUGUGCCCAUGUGAAGCUCC
This 159-nucleotide ribosomal RNA is filed under the name Paecilomyces sp. Its description in RNAcentral is "partial large subunit ribosomal RNA". It matches the Rfam family "Eukaryotic large subunit ribosomal RNA", at positions 99 to 255 of the family's 3401-position model. The record is from RNAcentral. Lineage: Eukaryota; Fungi; Ascomycota; Eurotiomycetes; Eurotiales; Thermoascaceae.